GACGAACGCUGGCGGCGUGCUUAACACAUGCAAGUCGAACGGAAAGGCCCUGCUUUUGUGGGGGGCUUGAGUGGCGAACGGGUGAGUAACACGUGAGUAACCUGCCCUUGACUUUGGGAUAACUUCAGGAAACUGGGGCUAAUACCGGAUAGGAGCUCCGGCUGCAUGGUGGGGGUUGGAAAGUUUCGGCGGUUGGGGAUGGACUCGCGGCUUAUCAGCUUGUUGGUGGGGUAGUGGCUUACCAAGGCUUUGACGGGUAGCCGGCCUGAGAGGGUGACCGGCCACAUUGGGACUGAGAUACGGCCCAGACUCCUACGGGAGGCAGCAGUGGGGAAUAUUGCACAAUGGGCGGAAGCCUGAUGCAGCAACGCCGCGUGCGGGAUGACGGCCUUCGGGUUGUAAACCGCUUUCGCCUGUGACGAAGCGUGAGUGACGGUAAUGGGUAAAGAAGCACCGGCUAACUACGUG
This 468-nucleotide ribosomal RNA is filed under the name uncultured bacterium. RNAcentral's name for it is "partial 16S ribosomal RNA". It matches the Rfam family "Bacterial small subunit ribosomal RNA", at positions 28 to 507 of the family's 1533-position model. The record is from RNAcentral.